CGUGUAGGCGGCCAGAUAAAUCCGCUGUGAAAUCUCGAGGCUCAACUUCGAGCUGUCGGUGGAAACUGUCUGGCUAGAGUCCGGAAGAGGAGAAUGGAAUUCCUGGUGUAGCGGUGAAAUGCGCAGAUAUCAGGAAGAACACCCGUGGCGAAGGCGGUUCUCUGGGACGGUACUGACGCUGAGACGCGAAAGCGUGGGAGCGAACA
Molecule: ribosomal RNA, 206 nt
Filed under: uncultured bacterium
Lineage: Bacteria
Description: partial 16S ribosomal RNA
Rfam family: Bacterial small subunit ribosomal RNA
Source: RNAcentral